Molecule: ribosomal RNA, 254 nt
Filed under: uncultured bacterium
Lineage: Bacteria
Description: partial 16S ribosomal RNA
Rfam family: Bacterial small subunit ribosomal RNA
Source: RNAcentral
UACGUAGGUGGCAAGCGUUGUCCGGAUUUAUUGGGUUUAAAGGGUGCGUAGGCGGCCCCGUAAGUCAGUGCUGAAAUAUCCCGGGCUUAACCGGGAGGGUGGCAUUGAUACUGCGAGGCUUGAGUAAAGUUGAGGUAGGCGGAAUUGACGGUGUAGCGGUGAAAUGCUUAGAUAUCGUCAAGAACACCGAUAGUGUAGACAGCUUACUAAGCUUAACUGACGCUGAGGCACGAAAGUGUGGGGGAUCAAACAGG